RNAcentral lists this ribosomal RNA (459 nucleotides) under uncultured bacterium. RNAcentral's name for it is "partial 16S ribosomal RNA". It matches the Rfam family "Bacterial small subunit ribosomal RNA", at positions 338 to 795 of the family's 1533-position model. The record is from RNAcentral.
ACUACGGGCGGCAGCAGUGAGGAAUAUUGGUCAAUGGACGCAAGUCUGAACCAGCCAUGCCGCGUGCAGGAAGACGGCUCUAUGAGUUGUAAACUGCUUUUGUACGAGGAUAAACGCAUAUACGCGUAUCUGUCUGAAAGUAUCGUACGAAUAAGGAUCGGCUAACUCCGUGCCAGCAGCCGCGGUAAUACGGAGGAUUCGAGCGUUAUCCGGAUUUAUUGGGUUUAAAGGGUGCGUAGGCGGUCGGUUAAGUUAGUGGUGAAAUGCGAGGCUCAACUUCGGAAUUGCCGCUGAUACUGUUCGGCUAGAGUGCAGUAGCGGUAGGCGGAAUGCAUGGUGUAGCGGUGAAAUGCUUAGAGAUCACACAGAACACCGAUUGCGAAGGCAGCUUACCAAGCUACUACUGACGUUGAGGCACGAAAGCGUGGGGAUCAAACAGGAUUAGAUACCCUUGUAGUC